GGGGGGAUACUCUCAGCAUGCCUGCCCAGUGCGGUUAGAUAGUCGUAAACGGCCGCCCUAGCGUGAGGGUGCUAAGGUAGCGAAAUUCCUUGCCUUUUAAUUGUAGGCCUGCAUGAAUGGUUUGACGAGGGCUUAACUGUCUCUAGUUUUUAUAUCAAAAUUGGAUUAAAGGUGAAGAUACCUUUAUAAAAAAGUCAGACAAGAAGACCCCGUGCAACUUUUAAAGUCAGUUUAUUAAGAAGUACAAGAUUUUUAGGUGGGGCGCCUAUUGAGUAAAACUAACCUCUAUGUAUAAAUAAAACUAUCUAGUGUAGACCCGGCAAUGCCGAUCAUAGGAGAAGUUACGCCGGGGAUAACAGGCUAAUCCAUUAGUAGAGAACGUAUUGGCUAAUGGGAUUGGCACCUCGAUGUUGAAUCAGGGAUGAUACCUUUAAGGCGUAGAAGCUUUAAAAGUGGGUCUGUUCGACCUUUAAUACCCUACGUGAUCUGAUUCAGACCGGAAAGUAGCUA
RNAcentral lists this ribosomal RNA (510 nucleotides) under Planostrea pestigris. Its description in RNAcentral is "partial 16S ribosomal RNA". It matches the Rfam family "Bacterial large subunit ribosomal RNA", at positions 1839 to 2628 of the family's 2925-position model. Lineage: Eukaryota; Metazoa; Mollusca; Bivalvia; Ostreida; Ostreidae. The record is from RNAcentral.